AAAAAAUUAGUUAAUGAUAUAAUAUUAGUUUGUCAAACUAAAGUUAUCAAAUUUUUGAUAUUUUUUA
This 67-nucleotide transfer RNA is filed under the name Blaesoxipha lapidosa. RNAcentral describes it as "tRNA-Asp". Lineage: Eukaryota; Metazoa; Arthropoda; Insecta; Diptera; Sarcophagidae. The record is from RNAcentral.